CCUACGGGAGGCAGCAGUGGGGAAUAUUCGGCAAUGGGCGCAAGCCUGACCCAGCAACGCCGCGUGAAGGAAGAAGGCUUUCGGGUUGUAAACUUCUUUUGACAGGGAAGAGUAGAAGACGGUACCUGUCGAAUAAGCCACGGCUAACUACGUGCCAGCAGCCGGGUUAAUACGUAGGUGGCAAGCGUUGUCCGGAUGUAAUGGGGGGAAAGGGCGUGUUGCCGGGUUGACAAGUCAGAUGUGAAAUCCUGCGGCUUAACGGAGGAAUUGCAAUUGAACAUGUUGUUAUUGAGGAUAGGAGAGGCAGGAGGAAUUCCUAGUGUAGCGGUGAAAUGCGGAGAUAUUAGGAGGAACACCAGUGGCGAAGGCGGUCUGCUGGACAGCAACUGACGGUGAGGCGCGAAAGCGUGGGGAGCAAACGGGAUUAGAUACCCCAGUAGUC
This 442-nucleotide ribosomal RNA is filed under the name uncultured bacterium. Its description in RNAcentral is "partial 16S ribosomal RNA". It matches the Rfam family "Bacterial small subunit ribosomal RNA", at positions 338 to 795 of the family's 1533-position model. The record is from RNAcentral.